UGGCUCAGUGGUAGAGUGCUUGCCUUGCAAGCAUGAGGUCCUGGGUUCGAUUCCUCAG
RNAcentral lists this transfer RNA (58 nucleotides) under Dipodomys ordii (Ord's kangaroo rat). It matches the Rfam family "tRNA", at positions 8 to 63 of the family's 71-position model. From Rfam's summary of the family: Transfer RNA (tRNA) molecules are approximately 80 nucleotides in length. Their secondary structure includes four short double-helical elements and three loops (D, anti-codon, and T loops). Lineage: Eukaryota; Metazoa; Chordata; Mammalia; Rodentia; Heteromyidae. The record is from Rfam by way of RNAcentral.